GAUAGUAGGAUAUAAAGUGAAUAAAUAAAUUUUUAAUAGUGCUACCUCUUUAUAAAAAUAGCUUUACCUUUACUUAAAUCCCAUCCAUAAUAAAGAAUUAAGUGACUUGUGAGAUUGUAUGUUAUCCUAUAGCUUUAAAGAUAUUCUGGCAUUUUUAUAGAGUAUUUCUUUUCUUUUUUUUUUUCUUUCUUUCUUUUUUUUUUACAACGUUUAUAGUAAGGCUUGCAUCAAAUUCAAUAUUUAGACCAGGUUGAUGCCCAGAUUUCCAACCCAAUCAUCUCAGGUGCCAAGAUAAUUCCCUUACCCUCUUAUAGACAGUUUAUAGUCUUGAGUUUCCCAACUUGUACUUUUACAACACAGUUACUUUGUGUCUUACCUAAAUUUAUAAGGAAAAAGAUGUAUAUUGGCAUGGGUUUAUUUUAUAUUUUUAGAUGUUAAAAUUGAUUGUAUUUUUAAUAUAAUUAUAUUAUGAUGCCUUUUUUCAGAGCAUCUGAAACCAACCAGUACAAAAAACCAAAACGCUGAUCUUGAGAAACACCUGUAUAUUUCAGUCAGAUCUACAAAUAAACAUACAGAAAAAGAUAAAAAACAUGGGCAGUCUAACAAUCAAAAGUUAAAGAAACAAGGUGCUUUGACAUCUACCAAAAAGCAGAAACAUAAAGAACAGCCUAAAACUGAAACAAUAGUUGAAAAUAAUGAUAAAUUUGAUGAUAAUCUGAUGAUGACUACCUCUUCUCCAAAUAUCAAAAUCAUUAAAGAGCUAUCUAAAACUUUGAAUUUAGAUGGUGGAGAUAUUGAACUUUCAGACUUUGUGUUCAAGACAGCAUCUGCUGCAAAGAAACUUGAGAAUAAAGGGCCAUCUAAAACCAAAAACUUAAACAAGGAAAGUUCUCAAGAUAUUCAUAUCCUGCACCUGACAACCUCUGCUAUAAGGACACUUUUGUUAGACGAGGAAGCUAAAAUUAGGAGCUUAGAGAAGAAAUUAAUGAAACAAUCAACAAUUCUGCAGAAAUCAGCCUCUUCUAUGAAGAAGUUUAUGUUUAAAGAGCCAUCUAAAGAGACUAAAAAGAAAAGAAAGAAAAGAAAGAAAAGAAAGAUCGUUGUUAAAAGUGCACACAUUCUGCCCAUCACUACUACACAAAAGCACACUAUUAAAGAGAAAUCUAAAAUUAGUAACUUAGAAAAGCCAAUUGUUAGAGGAACAGGUAUUCUGAAAAAGUCAACCUCUGCUCGGAAGAAACGUGUGCUCAAAGGGAAGUCUAAAUCUGCAACAUUACCCAAGAAAUGUGAUAACUUUCCAUUUGAUCUGGUUCGUUCAUCAUCUGACUCCAGCAAACAAGAGGUUGAAGAGCAACCUAAGCCUGGAAAUGUAGACAAGAAAGUUUCUGAUGAUUCUUAUAGUCCGGACAUUUCAACAUCUCCCACAAAGAAGCAUACACUAAAAGGUCAGCCUAAGUCUGAAAACUCUGACGAAAAAGGUAUCAAACGUCCAAAUAAUUUGCACAUGUCUGCCUCUGUUGCAAGGAAGCGUCUCCUUAAAGCAUUAAGUACUAUUCCAUGA
This 1561-nucleotide long non-coding RNA is filed under the name Mus spicilegus (steppe mouse). RNAcentral describes it as "lncRNA (ENSMSIG00000024514.1)". The record is from RNAcentral. Lineage: Eukaryota; Metazoa; Chordata; Mammalia; Rodentia; Muridae.